Molecule: ribosomal RNA, 429 nt
Filed under: Triticum aestivum (bread wheat)
Lineage: Eukaryota; Viridiplantae; Streptophyta; Magnoliopsida; Poales; Poaceae
Description: partial small subunit ribosomal RNA
Source: RNAcentral
AUGGCGACGCUGCAGCUGAACCACAUCGCGCGGGAGACCGGCGACGUGCGGGGCCUGGCCGCCUUCUACGAGGAGGUGCUGGGCUUCGAGCGCGUCCCGGCCCCGGCCUACUCCGGCUUCCAGGUCGCCUGGCUCCGCCUCCCGGGCUCCCCCGACGUCGCGCUCCACAUCAUCGAGCGCGACCCGGCCGUCGCCGUCGCCGUUGCCCCGGGGGCCGCGCAGGGGGUCGGCACGCCCGCGCAGCUGCCCAGGCGGCACCACCUCGCCUUCUCCGUGGCCGACUUCGACGGGUUCCUCACCGGGCUCAGGACCCGCGGCACCCAGCUGUUCGAGAAGUCCCAGCCCGACGGCCGCACGCGCCAGGUCUUCUUCUUCGACCCCGACGGCAAUGGUCUAGAAGUUACAAGCUCGAGCCCAGGCGAUAAGUAA